ACGUAGGGGGCAAGCGUUAUCCGGAUUUACUGGGUGUAAAGGGAGCGUAGGCGGUCAGACAAGUCAGAAGUGAAAGCCCGGGGCUCAACUCCGGGACUGCUUUUGAAACUGCCGGACUAGAUUGCAGGAGAGGUAAGUGGAAUUCCUAGUGUAGCGGUGAAAUGCGUAGAUAUUAGGAGGAACACCAGUGGCGAAGGCGGCUUACUGGACUGUAAAUGACGCUGAGGCUCGAAAGCGUGGGGAGCAAACAG
This 251-nucleotide ribosomal RNA is filed under the name uncultured bacterium. Its description in RNAcentral is "partial 16S ribosomal RNA". It matches the Rfam family "Bacterial small subunit ribosomal RNA", at positions 525 to 775 of the family's 1533-position model. The record is from RNAcentral.